UUGCAGAAUCCCGUGAACCAUCGAGUCUUUGAACGCAAGUUGCGCCCCAAGCCGUUAGGCUGAGGGCACGUCUGCCUGGGUGUCACGCAUCGUUGCCCCACCCC
RNAcentral lists this ribosomal RNA (104 nucleotides) under Zieria arborescens subsp. arborescens. RNAcentral's name for it is "partial 5.8S ribosomal RNA". The stretch from base 1 to 85 matches the Rfam family "5.8S ribosomal RNA", at positions 72 to 154 of the family's 154-position model. Rfam says of the family: 5.8S ribosomal RNA (5.8S rRNA) is a component of the large subunit of the eukaryotic ribosome. The record is from RNAcentral. Lineage: Eukaryota; Viridiplantae; Streptophyta; Magnoliopsida; Sapindales; Rutaceae.